CCCCGAAUGGCGCAGUUGGUAGCGCAGUCGGCUGUAAACCGAAAGGUCACCGGCUCGAAUCCGGUUUCGGGGA
RNAcentral lists this transfer RNA (73 nucleotides) under Exophiala dermatitidis NIH/UT8656. Its description in RNAcentral is "tRNA-Tyr (GTA) (tRNA-Tyr-GTA-1-1)". It matches the Rfam family "tRNA". Rfam says of the family: Transfer RNA (tRNA) molecules are approximately 80 nucleotides in length. Their secondary structure includes four short double-helical elements and three loops (D, anti-codon, and T loops). Further hydrogen bonds mediate the characteristic L-shaped molecular structure. tRNAs have two regions of fundamental functional importance: the anti-codon, which is responsible for specific mRNA codon recognition, and the 3' end, to which the tRNAs corresponding amino acid is attached (by aminoacyl-tRNA synthetases). tRNAs cope with the degeneracy of the genetic code in two manners: having more than one tRNA (with a specific anti-codon) for a particular amino acid; and 'wobble' base-pairing, i.e. permitting non-standard base-pairing at the 3rd anti-codon position. The record is from RNAcentral. Lineage: Eukaryota; Fungi; Ascomycota; Eurotiomycetes; Chaetothyriales; Herpotrichiellaceae.